This 253-nucleotide ribosomal RNA is filed under the name uncultured bacterium. RNAcentral's name for it is "partial 16S ribosomal RNA". It matches the Rfam family "Bacterial small subunit ribosomal RNA", at positions 524 to 776 of the family's 1533-position model. The record is from RNAcentral.
UACGUAGGGGGCGAGCGUUGUCCGGAAUCAUUGGGCGUAAAGCGCGCGUAGGCGGUUCGGUAAGUCUGCUGUGAAAGUCGGGGGCUCAACCCUCGGAUGCCGGUGGAUACUGUCGAGCUUGAGUGCGGAAGAGGCGAGUGGAAUUCCUGGUGUAGCGGUGAAAUGCGCAGAUAUCAGGAGGAACACCAAUUGCGAAGGCAGCUCGCUGGGACGUUACUGACGCUGAUGCGCGAAAGCGUGGGGAGCAAACAGG